Molecule: transfer RNA, 73 nt
Filed under: Actinomadura rudentiformis
Lineage: Bacteria; Bacillati; Actinomycetota; Actinomycetes; Streptosporangiales; Thermomonosporaceae
Rfam family: tRNA
About the family: Transfer RNA (tRNA) molecules are approximately 80 nucleotides in length. Their secondary structure includes four short double-helical elements and three loops (D, anti-codon, and T loops).
Source: Rfam by way of RNAcentral
GCGUCGCGAGCAUGACUGGAAAUGCAGCAGACUCUUAAUCUGCGAGAUCGGGGUUCGAGUCCCCGGCGACGUA